Molecule: ribosomal RNA, 465 nt
Filed under: uncultured bacterium
Lineage: Bacteria
Description: bacterial SSU rRNA
Rfam family: Bacterial small subunit ribosomal RNA
Source: RNAcentral
UCCAGACUCCUACGGGAGGCAGCAGUGAGGAAUAUUGGUCAAUGGGCGAGAGCCUGAACCAGCCAAGUCGCGUGAGGGAAGACGGUCCUAUGGAUUGUAAACCUCUUUUGUCGGGGAGCAAAAAGGCCUCGUGAGGCCACAAGUGAGAGUGCCCGAAGAAAAAGCAUCGGCUAACUACGUGCCAGCAGCCGCGGUAAUACGUAGGGAGCAAGCGUUGUCCGGAAUUACUGGGUGUAAAGGGAGCGUAGGCGGGAUGGCAAGUUGGGUGUUAAAUCUACCGGCUCAACUGGUAGUCGCACUCAAAACUGCUAUUCUUGAGUGAAGUAGAGGCAGGCGGAAUUCCUAGUGUAGCGGUGAAAUGCGUAGAUAUUAGGAGGAACACCAGUGGCGAAGGCGGCCUGCUGGGCUUUUACUGACGCUGAGGCUCGAAAGUGUGGGGAGCAAACAGGAUUAGAUACCCUAGUA